RNAcentral lists this transfer RNA (76 nucleotides) under Hyphomicrobium sp. Its description in RNAcentral is "tRNA-Glu". It matches the Rfam family "tRNA". Rfam says of the family: Transfer RNA (tRNA) molecules are approximately 80 nucleotides in length. The record is from RNAcentral. Lineage: Bacteria; Pseudomonadati; Pseudomonadota; Alphaproteobacteria; Hyphomicrobiales; Hyphomicrobiaceae.
GCCCCGUUCGUCUAGAGGCCUAGGACGCUCGCCUCUCACGUGAGCAACAGGGGUUCGAAUCCCCUACGGGGCGCCA